This 310-nucleotide unclassified non-coding RNA is filed under the name uncultured fungus. RNAcentral's name for it is "partial contains 5.8S ribosomal RNA and internal transcribed spacer 2". The stretch from base 1 to 133 matches the Rfam family "5.8S ribosomal RNA", at positions 22 to 154 of the family's 154-position model. The record is from RNAcentral. Lineage: Eukaryota; Fungi.
UGGUUCUGGCAUCGAUGAAGAACGCAGCGAAAUGCAAUAAGUAAUGUGAAUUGCAGAAUUCAGUGAAUCAUCGUGUUUUUGAACGCACAUUGCGCCCUUUGGUAUUCCGAGGGGCACGCCCGUUCGAGCGUCAUUUCACCACUCAAGCCUGGCUUGGUGUUGGGUCCACGGGGGCGACCCGGACCUCAAAGUGUCGGCGGGAAAGCUCUGAUCUCAGCGUUGUGAAUCAAAUCCGCUGGCGAGGAGGGCCCUCCGAGCCGUUAAACCUCCAUCAAAGGUUGACCUCGGAUCGGGUGGGGAUACCCGCUGA